RNAcentral lists this ribosomal RNA (476 nucleotides) under uncultured bacterium. RNAcentral's name for it is "bacterial SSU rRNA". It matches the Rfam family "Bacterial small subunit ribosomal RNA", at positions 29 to 507 of the family's 1533-position model. The record is from RNAcentral.
AUGAACGCUAGCGGCAGGCUUAACACAUGCAAGUCGAGGGGUAUAGUUCUUCGGAACUAGAGACCGGCGCACGGGUGCGUAACGCGUAUGCAAUCUACCUUUUGCAGAGGGAUAGCCCAGAGAAAUUUGGAUUAAUACCUCAUAGUAUGUGAGAAUGGCAUCAUUUCACAUUAAAGUCACAACGGCAAAAGAUGAGCAUGCGUCCCAUUAGCUAGUUGGUAAGGUAACGGCUUACCAAGGCAACGAUGGGUAGGGGUCCUGAGAGGGAGAUCCCCCACACUGGUACUGAGACACGGACCAGACUCCUACGGGAGGCAGCAGUGAGGAAUAUUGGACAAUGGGCGCAAGCCUGAUCCAGCCAUGCCGCGUGCAGGAUGACGGUCCUAUGGAUUGUAAACUGCUUUUGUACAGGAAGAAACACUGGUUCGUGAACCAGCUUGACGGUACUGUAAGAAUAAGGAUCGGCUAACUCCGUG